Suillus cothurnatus is the source of this 86-nucleotide non-coding RNA. NCBI's taxonomy places the organism in Eukaryota, Fungi, Basidiomycota, Agaricomycetes, Boletales, Suillaceae. The record is from the annotation of a GenBank genome assembly.
CCGACCUUAGCUCAGUUGGAAGAGCGCGAGACUGUAAUUGGUAAAAUGUCAUCUUGAGGUCGCCUGUUCGAGCCAGGCAGGUCGGA